This 1354-nucleotide long non-coding RNA is filed under the name Aquila chrysaetos chrysaetos. RNAcentral's name for it is "lncRNA (ENSACCG00020016915.1)". Lineage: Eukaryota; Metazoa; Chordata; Aves; Accipitriformes; Accipitridae. The record is from RNAcentral.
GUGACGCCCCGCUGGCAGCGUCCCCUCGCCCAGCCCCCCCGUGGGCCGAGCCUGGCCCAGGUCCGGGACCGUAUCCGGCCUCUCCGCCGCCGCCACAUCCCGGCCCUGCGUGUCCCCAAGGCGUCUCCAAGGGGUCCCCGACGCUGCCACCACCUAUGGAGACCCCUGAGGCCACCGGGGCCAUCGUCCCCCCCGAGGUGUCCCCGGAGCUGCUGGAGCCGUUGGUGACUGUGGUGGCCAUCCUGGGCGAGCUGGGGGCCACGCCAGGGGACAUCCCCCUGGCCGGGUCACCGGGCUCGCUGCGGGCGAGGCUGGUGGCCCUCAUCGCCAACAUCCGCCGGGCCAUGGACCACCAUCACGGAGAUGCCACCCGCCUCCGUCGCGCCCUGGCCACCGCCGGGGCCACCAAGGCCACCGCUGGAGCCACCACCGUGGCCACCCUCGAGCCCGCUGUGGUCCCACCGGGGGAUUCCGCUGUCCCCAGGGCCACCGCAGGGGACGCCUGGGCCAUCGUGGCGACCAUCACCCGCGAGUGGCGGGAGGCCGUGGCCUCGGUGGCGGCCACCUGGGCCACGGUAGCGGGGGACGCCGCGCACCUGAGGGACGCCUGUGGGACCGCGGCCACCACAGGGGCCACCGCCGGGGUCACCAUGGGCCACCUGGCAGCGGCGAUGGCCCAGGAGGACAGGGCACGCCAGCAGCUGCUGGCGGCCACCCGGGCGCUGCCGGUGGCCUCAGAGUUGGCUACGAUGGCCGAGGUGGUGACAGCCCACAAGACACGGGUGUCUGAGGCCAGCGCGGGGCUGCAGGCGGCCACCGAGGCCACCGAGAAGAUGGCGGCGGCAAUGGUGGAGACGGCGGUGGCUGGGGAGAGGGGACGGCUGGCGGCGGUGGCCCACAAGCCCCUGGGACGCUUGGUGGCCGCCUGUCACCAGGCCACCCUCUUCUACUGUCACCUGCGGCGCCGCCUCGAGGACAUCGAGGCCACCGUGGCUGCUAUGGCUGCUGGACACGGUGGCCCUGAGGUUCCCGGAGUGGCCCAGGAGGGUCCCGGUUUCCCCGGGUCCACCAUGACCGUGCAAGGAGGUCCUGGUGUCCCCGAGGACCUGAUGGCAGCGGUGGCGGCGGCCGAGGCGUUGUGGGACGCUAGCGCCCGCCUGGCCAAAUGCCACCCUCUUGGGGACGCUGCGGGUGGCCCGGGGGCUGUUGGUCAACCCCAACGUCCCCGAGGCCACCACCGUGGCCCAGCGCUGCCGGGACGCCACCGCCGCCCUCCCGGGGCUGCUGCCGCGGGGACCGCGGUAGGGGACGGUGGCUUCGUUGGGGACCAGCGGCUUCGUUGGGGAGUACUGGC